Molecule: ribosomal RNA, 26 nt
Filed under: Anopheles nuneztovari
Lineage: Eukaryota; Metazoa; Arthropoda; Insecta; Diptera; Culicidae
Also listed under: 10 other names
Description: partial 28S ribosomal RNA
Source: RNAcentral
GGCCUCAAAUAAUGUGUGACUACCCC